CCUACGGGUCGCAGCAGUGGGGAAUAUUGCACAAUGGGCGCAAGCCUGAUGCAGCCAUGCCGCGUGUAUGAAGAAGGCCUUCGGGUUGUAAAGUACUUUCAGCGGGGAGGAAGGGAGUAAGGUUAAUAACCUUAUUCAUUGACGUUACCCGCAGAAGAAGCACCGGCUAACUCCGUGCCAGCAGCCGCGGUAAUACGGAGGGUGCAAGCGUUAAUCGGAAUUACUGGGCGUAAAGCGCACGCAGGCGGUCUGUCAAGUCGGAUGUGAAAUCCCCGGGCUCAACCUGGGAACUGCAUUCGAAACUGGUAGGCUGGAGUCUUGUAGAGGGGGGUAGAAUUCCAGGUGUAGCGGUGAAAUGCGUAGAGAUCUGGAGGAAUACCGGUGGCGAAGGCGGCCCCUUGGACAAAGACUGACGCUCAGGUGCGAAAGCGUGGGGAGCAAACAGGAUUAGAUACCCCUGUAGUC
Molecule: ribosomal RNA, 465 nt
Filed under: uncultured bacterium
Lineage: Bacteria
Description: bacterial SSU rRNA
Rfam family: Bacterial small subunit ribosomal RNA
Source: RNAcentral